UACGUAGGGUGCCAGCGUUGUUCGGAAUCAUUGGGCGUAAAGCGCGUGUAGGGGGCUUGCUAAGUCGAGUGUGAAAUCCCUGGGCUCAACCGAGGAAGUGCAUUCGAAACUAGCUCGCUAGAGGAUGGCAGAGGAAGGUGGAAUGCCAAGUGUAGAGGUGAAAUUCGUAGAUAUUUGGCGGAAUACCGGCGGCGAAGGCGGCCUUCUGGACCAUUCCUGACACUGAGACGCGAAAGCGUGGGGAGCAAACAGG
RNAcentral lists this ribosomal RNA (253 nucleotides) under uncultured bacterium. Its description in RNAcentral is "partial 16S ribosomal RNA". It matches the Rfam family "Bacterial small subunit ribosomal RNA", at positions 524 to 776 of the family's 1533-position model. The record is from RNAcentral.